This 1410-nucleotide ribosomal RNA is filed under the name metagenome. Its description in RNAcentral is "bacterial LSU rRNA". It matches the Rfam family "Bacterial large subunit ribosomal RNA", at positions 1067 to 2498 of the family's 2925-position model. The record is from RNAcentral.
CUUAGGACAUUUAGAUACUAUGACAGCCAGGAUGUUGGCUUAGAAGCAGCCAUCAUUUAAAAAGUGCGUGAUAGCUUACUGGUCGAGUAUUUGAGUGCCGAUAAUGAUCGGGAGUAAGCGGUACACCGAAUCAGCGGAUGCACUGUAAAGUGCGUGGUAGAAGAGCGUUCUGAAUCAGAUACAAGCCAUACCGUGAGGAGUGGUGUUGGGGUUCAGAAGUGAUUAUGUCGGAAUGAGUAACGAUAAUGUAGGUGAGAAUCCUACACGCCGCAAGCCUAAGGUUUCCUGGGAAGGCAAAUCCGCCCAGGGUUAGCCGGUCCCUUAGUCAAGGCCGAGAGGCGUAGACGAUGGACAUCAGGUUAAUAUUCCUGAGCCGCUGUUCUGGACCGAUGGGGGGACGUUGUGUGAAUUGUGAUCGGGCGGUUAGAAGUGCCCGUGGGUGAAUUCAAAGUAGUGGUAGGGAAAUCCGCCACGCUGUCUGAGGGUUCAUUCCGACUCCGCUUUGAUGAGGAAGUCACAUGCAGCAUAAUCACGAAAAGCCUCUAAGGGUUGAAGGAAUAGCGACCGUACUAAAACUGACACAGGUAGGCGAGGCGAGUAGCCUCAGGCGCUCGGGAGAACGCUGGUUAAGGAACUCUGCAAAUUGACCCCGUAACUUCGGGAGAAGGGGUGCCCCCGCAAGGGGGCCACAGUAAAUCGGCUCUAGCGACUGUUUACUAAAAACACAGGACUCUGCGAACACGUAAGUGGAUGUAUAGAGUCUGACGCCUGCUCGGUGUUGGUAGGUUAAGGAAGAGGGUCAGGCGUAAGCCGAAGCUCGCAACCGAAGCCCCAAUAAACGGCGGCCGUAACUAUGACGGUCCUAAGGUAGCGAAGUUCCUUGUCGGGUAAGUUCCGACCUGCAUGAAUGGCGUAACGACUGGAGCACUGUCUCAACCAGCGACCCGGUGAAAUUGCAGUCGUGGUGAAGAUACCACGUUCCCGCAGUUAGACGGAAAGACCCCAUGAACCUUCACUGUAGGCUGAUACUGGGUCUAGAUUAUUCUUGUGUAGGAUAGGUGGGAGGCUAUGAAGUCGGUACGCUAGUACUGAUGGAGCCAACGUGAAAUACCACCCUGGGAUCAUUUGGAUUCUAACUUCGUUCAGUGAAUCCUGGCGAAGGACAAUGUCAGUUGGGCAGUUUGACUGGGGCGGUCUCCUCCAAAAGAGUAACGGAGGAGCCCAAUGGUACCCUCAGCCUGGUUGGCAAUCAGGCGUCGAGCGUAAAGGUAGAAGGGUGCUUGACUGCGAGACCUAUAAGUCGAGCAGAAACGAAAGUUGGGCUUAGUGAUCCGGCGGUGCUGGAUGGAAAGGCCGUCGCUCAUCAGAUAAAAGGUACUCUGGGGAUAACAGGCUGAUCGCAUCCGAGCC